This 6658-nucleotide long non-coding RNA is filed under the name Brassica rapa (field mustard). Its description in RNAcentral is "long non-coding RNA (BRAP_LNC008671)". The record is from RNAcentral. Lineage: Eukaryota; Viridiplantae; Streptophyta; Magnoliopsida; Brassicales; Brassicaceae.
GAGUGAAAACAUCAACAUCUUGCGCCUUGCAAACAACAACGGAAAUCUACGACUGGCCUCGUCCUCCACACCCCGCAAACGCCCAAUCCCCUAAGGUUACCUGCAUAGUAGAAGAGGGAAUGAGUAAUCGAAAUCACUCAGUGAGUUCCCAAAACAAAACAACAACUACCCCCUUCAGCCCAUGCUCAAACAACAAGAGCAACACAACCAAGCAAUGCAAUAACAACAACAGAAAUUAAAUAUGCAAUGCGAGAAUUUAAACAUGAAUGCAAUGCAAAAACUUAAACAUGAAUGCAAUGCAACUACUCUACACCCAAGUCUCCCACCGAGACUUAACUACAAAACUAAGACUCGAUCUAGACUCAAUCCUAGACUCAAACACUACAAAGCAAAACACUCAAAGGAUGGCGCCACACGCAACACAUCCCGGGAUCCCUCACAACACAGAGCCCUAAAUCUCCCAACUGAACACUCCCGACCACAAACACAGAAGUCACAUGAUCGGAAAACAUCAUCUCCGAGAAUUGGGCAUCUCCCAAUCUAACUCGGGCCGCAUCAUCAUGCAGCGCUUGUCCAUGGGCGCGACCCACUUCACGUGACAAGCCAUGAAGAGAAGGUCACUCCACCACUGGAGAAUUGGGUAUCUCCCAAUCUAACUCCAAGACAGCCAUGCACUUUAGUCUAGAUGCAACACAACACAUCAAAACAAUAAUCAAGCGUGAGGGAGCUCCACCUCUAACCUCCACGCACAACUAGACUAAAUGCACAACACAUCUCACACUCGCCCUAGCCUAGACAAAACACAAACACACUAGCAUGAGGGGGCAAAGCCACAAACCUCAAUACAGCCCUAAGCCUAGACUCAACCUAAAACAACUAAAGCGAGCGACACACUACAACUACCCGGCAAAAGAGAGAGUCUCACUCAAAUCUUUUUGCAACCCCAAACUACACUACAAUGCAUGAGCAUAUGAACUACAUGAGAGAGUUACACUCAAAUCUUCAUGCUUCACAACAACAACUCAUAAGCUACAACUAAUCAAACGAAUGCAUGCAUGCAACUAACGACCUAACAACACAAUGCAUGUCUAACAUAUCAUCACCCUAGAUGAAUAUGUUCACCACCACAAGACAUGCAAUGCACAAAUACAACUAAUGCAUGCAAGAAAGUAAACACUCAAGUAUGGGGACUACAAAUCUCCCACACACACACACACAAACAAUCAUAGCCACAAAUGUGGUUAAAUCACAAGAACUGAAACGUUUCUUGCUCCUCCACCUGCACACACACACGGUUAGAACACACAACACAACCAGGGAAACCCACCUAAGACUUCACAAACCGCACAACAGCUCCAAAAGCAAAAGACCUAAGGUUAACACUAAAACCGAUCAAAGAGAGGCUAAAGGCUAAGAGGGAAAGGGAACCUACAAACGGUAAACUAAGGUCUUACCACCACUCCUAGCACUCCACAACUGAUCCUAGAGCAAGGAUCAAGCCACGCAAAAGCCUUCCACACUCACCUCACACACUCAAAAAAAUUAUCGGUUUUAAGCCAUUUUCUCUCUCUAGAACAAACCAUAAGAUCGACUGACAGAGAAAGCUCAGGGGUUUCUAAACUUCAAAAACACAUCCUUAGGGUUCUAUUUAUAGCCAAAGGGAGGGAUGGGAGCACUUGACACAUGUUCACACACUUGUCACCAAUUUAAACCCGAAAUUCAUGCAUGUGGGUUAAAUACUCUUAAUCUACUCUUUUUCUUCUGAGCUUCUGUAAGGUCACUUACUUUACCUUGAUGUUCAAGUGUACCGAAUCUCAGCACAAAACUUGAUCGGCAAGUUACUUUGCCACAUAACCCAUUUUUAAGGCUUAAAUGAGCUAUUUGCAAAACACAUGGUAAACCUACUCCUUAGGUUUGUUCCCCAUUAUUCCUGUAGACUCCAUGAGGUGAUGAAUUGACCAAUGCAUGUUCUCCUUCGUGCCUGACGUGAUUCCACUCCAAAUAAUUUUUCUUCAUGAAGGGCUUUUUUACCACUUUUGGUUAAUGGACUGCUCCACUUACUCCAGGCUUCAAAUGAUUGCUCCAGCCUGCUCCAUUACUUCAUUUGGGUCCUAAAUGAACCAUAGAUGUCGAGGUUUUGAGGUAGAAACCCAUUUCUCCAGUCCAUGUCUUCUUUGCCAUUUAUAGCCCAUUUCGGGUAUAAAAUGUGUCUUCAUGAUUCCUUGCUCUCUAGAUGUCUUUUUCCCAUGAUUUCUUCCCCCAAAAAUCCCUUGAUUUAUUCCACACCUUGUCCAGGUUUGAAGGAAUUUUGUCUCCUACACGUGGCAUGCUCCUAUUGGUUGCUCGGAAGUGGUAAAUGGACCAAUAAGGCACUUUCUCUCUCCUUUGACUUUGGAUGACUUUCACUUCUGAGUUGACCACUUUCAAAACCUGAGGAAAUGUGUAAAACAUCCCUUUGAAAUCCUCUCUCAUCUUUGCACAUCUUCAUUUGGCUUCCUUAGCUCUCCUCCAGUUCAUUUUGACCAUAUCGACCAAAACUGCUUUUCUCCGGAUCAUCUUGGUUAUGUGUUGGCUAGACUCUCUAAUAUGUCUUCAAAUACCUUAAAUAACGUUUCUAGGUUGACUCCUUAACUCCUUGAUUUAUGUUGAUCACCUUUGUCUUCAUGCUGCUACCGAACCUCUGAUGUAGACUAUCUCCGGUACUGCUUUUCGACUGCUUCCUUACGCUCUCGAACAAACUUGAUUCUGACUCGACCAAAUGUCUUCUCCUAUCUCAACUUGAUGAUUGAGAUUAAGUCUUACUUGAGUUGCUGACUUUGGAAAUCCUCCAUGUUCGACCAUCACCAUUCCAUAGCUUAGUUUCUAACUCCUCGAACCAUUUUUACUUAUGCUCGAUCUUUCUUCAAAACUCCUCGAUCGAACCUCCAUAAACAUCUUCAUACACCUUUCCACUUUGGUUGCUGGAUGAUUCCACGUCGUUGACUUUGCGUUGACUUGUCCUCUAAGGUCAGGGUUAUUACACCGACUGUCCUUGUUAAUCAUUACUCCGAUCCUGAAGGCCAACACAAUAGGAUCAAAAUCCUAUGAUGUUAUCCCAUGCUAAUGUAUACAGAGCGUAGGCUUGCUUUGAGCACUCUGAUUUCUUCAAAGUAACAGCACCGGAGGCACGACCCGGCCAGUUAAGACCAGGAGAAUACCACCGACAGAAGAGCCAAGCCGACCGGUGUCAGGCCCCCAAUCCUGGAAAGGAUUGUCGGGACGGCCAUGCUUCGAGGAAACGUACCAGCCAGUCUCAGGACAUCAAGGCAAGCGUUCCAUGGUCAAGAAAGAAGGUUAAAGACAUAAGGAAACUUAGACUUAACCUUAUAAGAGCAAAGAGACGGCUAAGACAAGUAAGACGGUAGCUAGACGAGAUAGAGAAGUAGCUCGACCAGCUUAACGAAGCUAGGUUGAGUUCACUCCAGCUCAGCCACUACUAAGUCAGCUCCACUAGCUGGACUACUAGCUCACUCAGCUGAGGCAGCUGGGAGUCAGCUCAUCUCAGCUAGACGGACUGUUUGGGUUUUAGGCCGAUGGUCCGGGUCCGGGUCAGUGGCGGGCUGUGAGGUCCGGCCAUGAGGCCAUUGGGCUCUUGGGUCCUUGGACAAGGCCGUGGGCUAAGUCCAGGAGUCUUGGGGCGUGGGUUGGGCUUAUGACCUACCCCAAACCCAAUCAGAAAGGGCGAAAGGAUGCAAGUGGCCGAAAGGGGACAACCCUUGGCCGAUGGUGCCCAUUCGCUAGCAAGUCGUGCCUGUUCGUGGGGCAAGACUUACCCCCUCGUUUUCUAUAAAUAUGGGGUCUCUCCUGUUGAUUUCAUUAUCCAAUUCCAGAGUAAAAUUCUCACAGAAAAACGUAGAGAGAGAGAGAGAGUCCCGGCCAAGAGAUCGGCCGGAAAAGGGCCGGUCGUGGUGGUUUUGUGUCUCCGGCAAGGAGAAUGGUUUAGGAGAGAGGAGGCCGUGUGGUUAUGAAUACCCAAGGAAUAGAGAAAGGUCUGGAGAAGGACUCCAAAGCCGUGGUUCAGUCAGAUAGGGUCAGUGGGGUAACCACCAACUCAUCGGCUAAGACAAUCGGACAGUCCGAACCGGUCUAGCCAUGGGGGUUUGGAUUGUGUCCUAUUCUUCUCAUUCUUUUCAUCCAAUUCUUCUUCUACUCCUUCUGUACAUUGGCGUGGCCUUGUUGAUGUGUUGGGAUUGGUUAUAACCGUGGUUCUGGUUGAGUAAUGCGGUCGCGGUCCAUAACCGACGAGUUAGGCGCGCGCAUGGUCUAAACCGGCCUCAGAUGAUCCGAUUGGAUAGGGGCGGUUCUGAACGGUUGCAACCCUUACCUGAACAGUCAAAAUGGUUCAUGACUUGUGUAGGUUAAGGCGUGGUCCUUUGGCCAUAGGCCGGACACACGUACGGACCAGACAGUCCCUACGGACGGUUAGGUCGAACGGUUGGAGCAUCUGAAUGGGUGCGAGAUGCCAAGGGUCAUGAAUUGCCAAGAGGCACGAGUGUCCAAAGGGUACUAGUUCCCAAAGGGUGUGAGUUCCAAACGGUGCCAUUGGUUCAAGGCUUAGGCCGAACCAAGUGGACAGUCCGCGGCUGCAUAGUCGAACGGACGGACGGUUAGUUUAACCGGAGUGUUGUGUCGCAAGGUCUGAUCGGUUGCAAGGCAAUCCGGUUUGGGCUUGGGCCUUACUCGGUGGUAUAGAUCCAGGCUUUGGGUUGGAUCAGGUAAGAAGGACCGUGAGCCUUUGGGCCGGACUUAUAACUUGCCGAUCGCACCUAGAUCUUAACCAGACGGUUAGACGGGACAAUGGACGAUCCGGCUAUGGUUGGAUGGUUCUAGCCGCAAAGGCUAAGUGGGAUAUCUUACAAUCAACCUCGGGUUGGUGAGUAGGAUAGGCGCCAUAUGCCUUAUGUAGGGGGUAGACCCACAUGAUGGCAAUGGAAAGCCAGUUAUAUCAGUACAUGCUAAGUGGACGAUGGCUUAUCAAGUCUAGUGGUCGGAUCAUGUUUCAUGACGAUGGUUCGAUGGCCGAACACUAGUAUGGAUAGUCACGAUGCUGGAGUAAGAGUAUGGAUAGUCACAAUGUUACAUUCUCCCCUCCUUAAAAUGAAUUCGUCCCCGAAUUCACAAGUUACGCCGAACUUUCUGCCACCACCUUUUGUUGGCUACUUCAACUCUUCAUCGUCUUCUAGCUUCUUCGAUUCUACUUCGAUUAUUGAUAAUCUUCUUCCUCUCUUCUUCUUUUGCUUUGACUCUCCUUGAUAUCACCAUUUCUUUACUGCUUCAGCUUCCUCGAUCUGCUCCUUGACUUUUUGUCGUUGAUGCCGCUAUCUGCCCUCACUAUCUUCUUCUUCCUUUGUAAUCCGGCUGCUACUGUUUGAUACUCCUCCAUGUAGGUCUAAACUCCGCUACCAUUUGACCUGAUGCCACCAUCUGAUUCCACCAUUUGAUUCGAAAAUCUUCUACCACCAUUUGAUAUAAAUAAAUUCUUCUACCACCAUUUACUCAUAUCAUGACUGCCUGUUGCGGUACGAUCAACUCAACUGCUUUACCCUUGUCUCCCCUCCUUAGGAAACAACUCCAUCUUGAUCUACAACAUUCCGUCUCUUCUUCGUCUGGGCUUUCUCCUUCAACUCUUCUCGUCUUCUUCUGGUCUUAGACUUGACUAGGCUUCAUCUUCUACUCUCAUCACAAUCUUUCUUCUUGGCUUUACACUGUUUGGGCUUCACCACGACAUCUUCUUGGUUUGGUUUUUCUCUUGACAUCUCUUCUCUGAUUCUUCGGCUUCUGGGCUUUUUAUUAACUUCAUCUCCUCAUGACAUCACCAUUUCAAACAUCAUACACUCUGGUCUUCACGCUUCAGUUACUGCCUUCGUUGCUUCUUCACUAGCUCGAUCACUGAUUGCUCUGGUCUUGCACACAUGAACAUGCACGGAUUGCACGAAAAUCCUUCUUGGGAGAAAGAUCACACCAUCGCUCCUCUUGAAUCCCCACACUGCUCGACGACUCUUGAACAUACGCUGACGACUCUGAACCUUCACAUUGACGACUCUGAACCGUUGCACACUCGUUGCUGAUCUAUACCACGGUUGCCUCUGAUUCCAGAUCUUCCCCACACAUGCACGAAUCUUUUGGUAACAAUAUGUCAAGGCUCAUGUCCUUCCGACACCAUCAACGCUCACAACACAUCUCAACUUAUGGCUAUAAACAGGGAUCGGUUCCUAAAUCCUAGGGUUUACUCUAUCCUAAACUAACAAGGCUUCUAAAAGAAACUAAACCUAACUAUCACAACCUAGCAAGGGCUCAUUAACCGCACUUGCUACAAGGACACACCGUCCACAACACAACAAGGUUGCACACGCAACGCUCAACAACACAAAGCAAAACAAGCAAGCAAAGCAAAGCAAAGCAACAACUACUACUACAACACCCAAGAGAAAGGAUCAGCGCCCACUUACCUUAGCCGCCACGAGAACCCCAAACAGGACUCCUAGUAAGGUCAAGGUCUCUAAGGUUUGAUCCUCCUGUUGUAGAUGAGGCUGAUCGAGCAGGGCUGGUAGGAGGAACAACGGAGAUGGGUACGGCUCUGGUCACGUUGGUCAUUGGACAAUCUGCGAUGAAGUGUCCA